GGACGAACGCUGGCGGCGUGCUUAACACAUGCAAGUCGAACGAUGAACCACUUCGGUGGGGAUUAGUGGCGAACGGGUGAGUAACACGUGGGCAAUCUGCCCUUCACUCUGGGACAAGCCCUGGAAACGGGGUCUAAUACCGGAUACGACUACUGAGGGCAUCCUUGGUGGUGGAAAGCUCCGGCGGUGAAGGAUGAGCCCGCGGCCUAUCAGCUUGUUGGUGAGGUAACGGCUCACCAAGGCGACGACGGGUAGCCGGCCUGAGAGGGCGACCGGCCACACUGGGACUGAGACACGG
Molecule: ribosomal RNA, 298 nt
Filed under: Streptomyces sp. F56-3
Lineage: Bacteria; Bacillati; Actinomycetota; Actinomycetes; Kitasatosporales; Streptomycetaceae
Description: partial 16S ribosomal RNA
Rfam family: Bacterial small subunit ribosomal RNA
Source: RNAcentral